UAUUUCUAGAAUCGCAUUCGAUAAUUGUAAUUAUACUUUAAUCACUGGCGAUUCAUGGCAAUCCAUAUCGUUUGCGAGAAAGUUGUUAAUAUUUCAACUCUAAAGCGGAUUUGGUAGAUAAGCGUAUAAUUGGGAAUGCGAAGAAAGUAGUAGGUAGGGACAUUGAGAGCUGCCAGGAAUGAUUAAUUCUUGUCGGAAAGCGCUAGACCCUUUGGAACUCGGUUGUAGCGUCCCCGCCACCCCCGCCUUUCCCAUUCCACACUGGCCCUCUUCGCUCUUCAUACAACCACCUCAUUCCUCUCGCGCACUCAACCCUCUGAACCUCUCUUACCACUGGCAGACUUUCUCGUUUCGUUUGUUCUCCGCCCGUGUCAUUCGUUAUUACAUCGUAGAAACUCGCGGAUAUUUGGAAUUCCAAGUGACGUCUAAAGGGAGCCGGUGCUUUAACCGAUAACUCGGUUUCUUAUCUUAAAGGAAACUAUGUCCGACGCUGCUUUUGUUAAUACUCUUACACACUGGACACUAGCUAUAUUGAAAAAUUAAUGUUGUGAAACAAUUAAUCAGGAUAUUUAUUGUCUUAAUAAUCCUCUUUUAUUGAAGAAAUUUCUAAUAAUCGUCGCAAUGUUAUCUACGCAUCUUUGUUAAUCGUCGAAAAUGCAUUAUAAAAAAAGUACAUAUUAUAAAAUAUAUAUAACGUAAGUAUACAAAAACUAUGUAAAUUAUCAGUUGCUGUGUGAAUAAGCAGGAAUUGCAUUAUACGUUUUCAUUGGACUGGACAAUUUUAAAAGUAAUAUCAGAAUCAGAUUCAUCUCAAAUUCGAGCUCAUCCGGUGGCCCCAUCUUGCAAGAGCCAAGAAGAAGCGCACGCGUCCGAUAUCGGUUGCAUUUGCAUAAGGCUAUCGUCUUCCCUUUGUUGCGGAUUCGCCUCCCACGUACGUGGCGAGGCUGUCACUCAGAGUUUCUGGACUCUCCUCAGUCUUCUCUCACAUCAGCUGCGGAUCAGUACUCCUCUCUAUCUCCCUCGGCAUUUCUUCCUCUUUUCUCCUUUUUUUCUCGAUUUCAAACCUCCCCACAGCACACAGCAAGCACCUACACCCUGUCUUCGCUACCUUGCCUGCAUUCCUGCAUACUAUUACACGUAGCUGUGCUUACAUACAUUUCGUCCGUAACGCUUGCUUACUUGUUUAGCAAGUAAGGCUGAAUACUUUGCACUUUCAAAGUAAUAUUGCGAAAUAUUUUAGAGGAUAUCAAAAGUUACCCAUGACAGACUAUGCAAAUUCAAUAGUCAUGACUCAACGUUUGUCCUCCUUGUCUCAUAUUUGCCGCCAUGCGAUCAUCAGAAAAUAUACUGGGUGUCAAGAUGGGAAUCUUGAUAUUGCAGCGCGAUAGCUGACCAAAACAUUUCGGGCGGUCACGAAUGGACAGCGAAGGCAAAACGUGCAAAACGUAAAGGCAGCGGACCCGAGGCCCGGGGUGUUCCACUAGCGCGAUACUCUGCACUCUUCGAAUAGCUCUCUUCUUGUCCACGAGGUGCGGAGGUCUUCGGAGGUUCCGCUGAAUCGCCUAACUGAGAAUGGGAUGAAACGUACUUGGUGGAUACGGGCCGGGAAUGGUGAUCGCAUUAAUAAAACAUUAAGGUUUUGUAGACGAUGUAUCGAUGUAGUGUUUAUAUUAUCUUCUUUGAUGUCGACAUGUGAAUUGGACAGAUUUGUUAUUCAGACUCCGUACAUAAAAGUGCUGAAGUCUUGCUCCGCUCCGUUUGUGGACAGGGCGGGUAUCGACGACUCGGACAUCGAUGGACGGACGAACGGACAGACGGAACGAACGUGAGCGCAGAUGGAUAAACGUGAAUAGUCUGUUUCAAGUUUGCGUUCUGGUCCCUGCCACGCUUGUCAGACAGCCAGUACGUAGAAAAGGGAUCUUAUUCGUACGCAGAUAGUUCGCUGCUUGCUUGGCUCUGUUAA
RNAcentral lists this long non-coding RNA (1963 nucleotides) under Pogonomyrmex barbatus (red harvester ant). RNAcentral describes it as "uncharacterized LOC112552716". The record is from RNAcentral. Lineage: Eukaryota; Metazoa; Arthropoda; Insecta; Hymenoptera; Formicidae.